GACGAACGCUGGCGGCGUGCCUAAUACAUGCAAGUUGAGCGCUGAAGGUUGGUACUUGUACCAACUGGAUGAGCAGCGAACGGGUGAGUAACGCGUGGGGAAUCUGCCUUUGAGCGGGGGACAACAUUUGGAAACGAAUGCUAAUACCGCAUAAAAACUUUAAACACAAGUUUUAAGUUUGAAAGAUGCAAUUGCAUCACUCAAAGAUGAUCCCGCGUUGUAUUAGCUAGUUGGUGAGGUAAAGGCUCACCAAGGCGAUGAUACAUAGCCGACCUGAGAGGGUGAUCGGCCACAAUGGGACUGAGACACGGCCCAAACUCCUACGGGAGGCAGCAGGAGGGAAUCUUCGGCAAUGGGGGAAAAGCUGAACGAGCAAAGCCGGGGGAGUGAAGAAGGGUUUCGGAUCGUAAAACUCUGUUGGUAGAGAAGAACGUUGGUGAGGGUGGAACGCUCAUCAAGUGACGGUAACUAACCAGAAAGGGACGGCUAACUACGUG
Molecule: ribosomal RNA, 497 nt
Filed under: uncultured bacterium
Lineage: Bacteria
Description: partial 16S ribosomal RNA
Rfam family: Bacterial small subunit ribosomal RNA
Source: RNAcentral